AACGAACGCUGGCGGCAGGCUUAACACAUGCAAGUCGAACGAUGUAGCAAUACAUAGUGGCGCACGGGUGAGUAACGCGUGGGAACAUGCCCUUUAGUCUGGGAUAACAGCGGGAAACUGCUGCUAAUACUGGAUAUUCCCUCCGGGGGAAAGAUUUAUCGCUGAAGGAUUGGCCCGCGUAAGAUUAGGUAGUUGGUGGGGUAAUGGCCUACCAAGCCUACGAUCUUUAGCUGGUCUGAGAGGACGACCAGCCACACUGGAACUGAGACACGGUCCAGACUCCUACGGGAGGCAGCAGUGGGGAAUAUUGGACAAUGGGCGAAACCCUGAUCCAGCCAUGCCGCGUGAAUGAUGAAGGCCUUCGGGUUGUAAAGUUCUUUUGGUAGGGACGAUGAUGACGGUACCUACAGAAUAAGCUCCGGCUAACUUCGUGCCAGCAGCCGCGGUAA
RNAcentral lists this ribosomal RNA (449 nucleotides) under uncultured bacterium. Its description in RNAcentral is "partial 16S ribosomal RNA". It matches the Rfam family "Bacterial small subunit ribosomal RNA", at positions 29 to 523 of the family's 1533-position model. The record is from RNAcentral.